CCUACGGGAGGCAGCAGUAGGGAAUCUUCCACAAUGGGCGAAAGCCUGAUGGAGCAACGCCGCGUGGGUGAAGAAGGUCUUCGGAUCGUAAAACCCUGUUGUUAGAGAAGAAAGUUCGUGAGAGUAACUGUUCACGUUUCGACGGUAUCUAUCCAGAAAGCCACGGCUAACUACGUGCCAGCAGCCGCGGUAAUACGUAGGUGGCAAGCGUUAUCCGGUUUUAUUGGGCGUAAAGGGAACGCAGGCGGUCUGUUAAGUCUGAUGUGAAAGCCUUCGGUUUAACCGGAGUAGUGCAUUGGAAACUGGGAGACUGGAGUGCAGAUGAGGUGAGUGGAACUCCAGGUGUAGCGGUGAAAUGCGUAGAUAUAUGGAAGAACACCGGUGGCGAAAGCGGCUUUCUGGGCUGUAACUGACGCUGAGGUUCGAAAGCGUGGGUAGCAAACAGGAUUAGAUACCCGAGUAGUC
This 465-nucleotide ribosomal RNA is filed under the name uncultured bacterium. Its description in RNAcentral is "partial 16S ribosomal RNA". It matches the Rfam family "Bacterial small subunit ribosomal RNA", at positions 338 to 795 of the family's 1533-position model. The record is from RNAcentral.